GCUUCUGUGGCGCAAUUGGUUAGCGCGUUCGACUGUUAUACUCGGGUUACACAAGGUAACACAAGUUAGCAAUCGAGAGGUUGGCAGUUCAAGCCUGCCCAGGAGCG
Non-coding RNA from Fimicolochytrium jonesii, 107 nucleotides. The record is from the annotation of a RefSeq genome assembly. NCBI's taxonomy places the organism in Eukaryota, Fungi, Chytridiomycota, Chytridiomycetes, Spizellomycetales, Powellomycetaceae.